Molecule: long non-coding RNA, 4120 nt
Organism: Phyllostomus hastatus (greater spear-nosed bat)
Lineage: Eukaryota; Metazoa; Chordata; Mammalia; Chiroptera; Phyllostomidae
Exons: 5
Source: RefSeq, a predicted model, not a curated record
AGCGGCGAGGCCCACCGGUGCCUCCUGUCCCCUCACUGCAGGAGGGAAGGCGGGGCUGAGAGGGACCAGGGCUCCCAAGGUCACACAGCCCCAGGGCCAGCACCGGCCCUGCAGCCCAGCUCCUGUGCUCCGAGCUCACGGCCAACACGGGUCUCCCUCCGCAGCGGUCUGUGGGACCUCCGGGAGCGGAUGGUAGCCGGAGGCAGCCACGCGCUCCAGCUCCAGAGCUCCCGUGCGGUUCUUCGUUGUGCGUCCGCGUCUCCGCUGAGCUCCUUCUCUGUUCCGUCAUCACGGCGCCGCACUUUCCCAUUUCUGUGCAAGUCUGGUGACUUUCCUAUUGGGUGCUGGCAUUACACGUCUCAUCUCAGCCCUGGGGGUCCCCGUCCAGCCCUGUCGGAGGAGAGACUGGUGUCACCUCCUUCAGAUCAAAACAGUCUCCUUUCCUAAGAGGACCUGGGGCGGGAGCAACCUUAGAGGAUGCAGCCAGAUUCAAAUCCAGACUCCCCACCGACCUCGGGGCUGAGGGCCAGACAGGACGGAACGAGCAAACAAAACAGGAGCGAAGGGAGGAACCCCAGGCAGACGGCAUCGGUGAGAGCCAGAGUGGCCACAGGACAGUCGGCAGGGGAUGAGGCGACGUGCCCACCUGGGGAGAACCCUCCAGGUCCGCAUUUCAAAUUUCGCAUGAGACAAAGGCAAAAACAGUGUUCAUCACAAACCAGUGUGAUGCAGUAAGUAGAUACCGAAACUUUUGCCUUUGUCCCGAACGCGUAAGAAACACAGAAUGUGAAGUUUACCUAGACAGGCACUGAUAAGCUGUGCUCAUCACUUAUGACGUCGGAGCAAAUGGUGCUGAAUUUCUGCCGACUCGGGGGGCACAGGAGCCCAGGCCCGGCCCCGCCUCUAACCGGCGUGUGAUCUCCAACCGCUCACGCUCUCUUGGCCUCAUUUCUUACUUCUAAAAUGGAAAGUACUCCAGCCCAGAAGGUUGUGAAGUUCAACUGUAACAGUGCCAAAAUAAGAACAACCGGGUAAUCACACUCCACCAGCUCUGACGACAAGCCCCUCUCUGCUAGGGCCUCUCUGACAAGGCCAGCCCCCUGCCCGGCCUGGCCGGGUCUGCCCACUUCCCUACCAGCCGGUUCCUGGACAUCCCUGAUCCCAGGCUCCCCAAGAUGGGAGCCUAAAGCUCAGGAUGCGGCUGGGCGGGUCCCCUUGGUUCCAAUGUGCUGGGCCUUGCUGCCCUCUUGUGGCCAGCAGUGGAAUCAUCACACGUUGACAAAUCGUUGACCAUCGGGAGUUGGCUCUGACCCGGUGGAGAAGGGCGACGGGUCCACAACAGGGGCGGGAAGGGAGGUUUUCCCAUUUGCAUCCGAGGAGCUCCAUCCCAGCCCAGACCUGCAACAUAACAUAGGCAAGGGGAGGGGCAGAUGCUACGCGUCUUUGAUGUGGGAAAGAGAGAGGGCGGGGGAGCUGGAAGAACAAGGGAGUGGAGCAGGUGGUGGAGGGGAGGCGGCCCCGGGUGAGUCGGAAAGGUGGGCAGAGGUUGCACAGAAUGGCCCUUGGGUUUUGCCGGGAGGUGCGGUGGGCAGAGUGUCCACAUCCCAUUGCCUUUGAGGGUUCCUCCUGGGAGCGGUGCUUCCCAGAGGUUGGAAGGGGCCGAGAGUGGAAUUGUGGGAGCCAGAGGGAAGCCUUGUCCCUCCCCUACAUUAUUACAGAGGAGGGUGCCCGGGGCACCGACGGGAGUGGCGCGGCGGAAGUGGUUGGUGUCUCACUGUGUUUUGGAAGUAGAACCUGCGCUGUUCACGGAGCGUGUGGAGACAGGAAAAUGCAAACGGACGAUGGCCAGGCCACGGGUCAGGACAGAACCCACGACCUGCGGCAGCCGGCCAGCACGCCAAACAAGCGCUCCUGUAGCCGCCGGCCCCAAAGGUCGGACUCGAUCAAUACCUGGCAGCCUCCCGCGUUGCUGUGCUGCUCCCUGCUCAGGACCGUCCAGGGAGAGCCGAAUACGCCCCCCCCCAACUGGCCACGUGGUGAGGUCCCACCUCCAACCGGUCCCACUUCCAGCUGACCCACCUGGAGCUUCGCCAGGCCCCUGCCUCCCGCCAGGGGCCCCUGAAGCCCUGUUUCUCUCCCUAGGAAGCUUCCCCUUCCCCCGCCUGAGUCUGUCCAGGCGCAGGCGAGGGCGGGCCACUCCCUCGCUCUAGCAGGGGCCGACAGAGAGCCUCUGCCUGUCCUCACUGGGUGGUCUCGGUCAGCCCCGCAGGCGUGAGAGACGGGGAGGGACACUGACUGAGGUGGCGAAGGCUGAGGAAGGCGAGGUUCGGGGGAAACCAUGCACCUGCUGCGGGUUUUCGAGUCAGAGGGGCCUGUGAAAGUGCCGUGCGGAGCCCCCUGUCGGGGGAAGAGUUGGCUCCAACGUUUCGGAGGUCAGGGGAGAGGUCUGGACAGAAGGAAGGAAUCUGGGGGUCAAAAAUACGACAGUACGAGAGAAGGUACAACGUUCGCUGAGACAGUGCACAAGUGGAAGGGUGCUGGACGCCCAUCCACCGGGAAACACUGGUUGUGUUGUGGGGGGAGAGGGAGACGGCGGGGCCCGGUGCAGCUGGCGGAGAACGAGGUGCAAUCUGCAGCGGCCCGGAAACGCCCCCAGGGCACCUUCGUUCAGUGGAAAGAAGGAGUGUUUUUGGGAGGUUCUCGCCCCACUGUUCCGGAAGUGCCUCCUCCCGUCCAUUCAACCUUCACUGCGUUCUCAUGAGAUCGGUUAUUCCAGUCCUUGUUAUCACCGAGGAAGCGGAUGCUCAGGGAGCCUGGGUGACCUGCCGACGGACACCUACCUGGAAUGUGCCCGUGGGAGGGUCGCUCCUCUCUGGAUGCCGCACAGAGGAAGAAUAUCCGAGGAAUGUCUUAAGUGCGUACCGACAAUGGCUCUGCUCCAGCGUGAAAAGGAGGAGGGGAAGCUCUUGCCUGGGACUCGCCUCAGGCCUGUCACCUGGAGCAAUUCUGAAGCGAUGACAGAAACUCCCGAGCAUUCUUCCGCACCGCAUGCCACCAGGAAUGUCCUCACGGUGAACUGGGACACAGGGCGCCCGACUGAGUCACACACACGUCAAGCUCCCUGGCACACAUCCAGCAUCCUCUCCGACAACGUUGUCUGUGGUUCCCGAUAAAACUGAGAUAAUAGAGCAGGGAGACAAAAGUGGGUGGGCAGAAGCCCUCAGCUCCGGCCCUUGGCAGCCACCACAAACGGAGGCCCAGAGUUCAAGGCUUUGGGCACCAAGUUCCCGUUAUCCCAGGUAAUGGGAACACAGAGUGAGCAACACAGACCAAAGCCUCCCUUCGUGGAGCUUGUGUUCUAGUUGGAAGGGGACAUUCCAUGGGCUAUUGGAAGGUGUGACAAGAGCUAUAUAGACAAUAAAGCAGGGAAAGGGAUAGGAAAUCGAGAGAGCAUGGUGGUUACCAUUUUUAACGGGGUUAUCAGAUGUCCCUGCCAAUUCUCUUCUAACCCAGAAAUGUACGUGAAGGUGAGGGAAGCCUGACAACAGGUUCAUGCCCUUGGAAUUCACCUCCUAAUCACGCGCCCUGUUACUCAGAUGGGCAGUAGAAUAGCCUACCGAAGACUCAGUUAGGGCAUCAGCUGAGACACCACAGCCUGGGAGGUCGGGGCGCCUUUCUGUAACACAGGCAGUGCACGCCUGCCAACUGGGAACGGCAGUGUUACAUCCGACAGUCCACUUAAGAAAUGUCUUUCCAUCCACAUAACCGUAGCUGAGACUCUAGCACCCGAAGAGUUCCCAAGGAACAGAGUCAUAGUUCCGGUGCCUUGAAACUCAGUCUACCCUGGGGCUAUUUUGAGCUUUCAUUUGUUGAACCCUUGGAGUGAGAAGGAGUUACUAACCUAGAUGGAGUAAUCCAUUCAGAUGAACCAGAGGAAAUUGGGUGGCUUUUCAAAAUAAAGUCAAGGAGUGUGUUUAGAACCCAGGGGAUUCAGUCGGGCACUGCUUUAUGUGUCUUUGCUCCAUAAUAACAGUCCAUAGAAAAUGUGCUGCCCUGGCUGGUGUGGCUCAGUGGAUUGAGUGUCCGCCUGCGAACCGAAAGGUCAUGGGUUCAAUUCCCG